RNAcentral lists this ribosomal RNA (301 nucleotides) under uncultured bacterium. RNAcentral describes it as "partial 16S ribosomal RNA". It matches the Rfam family "Bacterial small subunit ribosomal RNA", at positions 509 to 807 of the family's 1533-position model. The record is from RNAcentral.
CAGUAGCCACGGUAAUACAGAGGGUGCAAGCGUUAAUCGGAAUUACUGGGCGUAAAGCGCGCGUAGGUGGUUUGUUAAGUUGGAUGUGAAAUCCCCGGGCUCAACCUGGGAACUGCAUCCAAAACUGGCAAGCUAGAGUAUGGUAGAGGGUGGUGGAAUUUCCUGUGUAGCGGUGAAAUGCGUAGAUAUAGGAAGGAACACCAGUGGCGAAGGCGACCACCUGGACUGAUACUGACACUGAGGUGCGAAAGCGUGGGGAGCAAACAGGAUUAGAUACCCCCGUAGUCCCUGUCUCUUAUAC